This 253-nucleotide ribosomal RNA is filed under the name uncultured bacterium. RNAcentral describes it as "partial 16S ribosomal RNA". It matches the Rfam family "Bacterial small subunit ribosomal RNA", at positions 524 to 776 of the family's 1533-position model. The record is from RNAcentral.
UACGGAGGGUGCGAGCGUUAAUCGGAAUUACUGGGCGUAAAGGGUGCGUAGGUGGUUUGAUAAGUUAUCUGUGAAAUCCCUGGGCUUAACCUAGGCAGGUCAGAUAAGACUGUUGGACUGGAGUAUGGGAGAGGGUAGUGGAAUUUCCGGUGUAGCAGUGAAAUGCGUAGAGAUCGGAAAGAACACCAACGGCGAAAGCACUCUGCUGGGCCGACACUGACACUGAGAGACGAAAGCUAGGGGAGCGAAUGGG